GGGGACUUGGCGAAGCCCGGUAUAUCCUCUCAUCCGUGAGAUGGUUCCGGAAUCGCGGCAGCCUCCAGAGUUGUUGGUCGCCGGUUCAAAUCCGGCAGUCCCCACCA
This 107-nucleotide transfer RNA is filed under the name Promethearchaeota archaeon. RNAcentral's name for it is "Candidatus Lokiarchaeota archaeon (microbial mat metagenome) tRNA-Trp". It matches the Rfam family "tRNA". Rfam says of the family: Transfer RNA (tRNA) molecules are approximately 80 nucleotides in length. Their secondary structure includes four short double-helical elements and three loops (D, anti-codon, and T loops). Lineage: Archaea; Promethearchaeati; Promethearchaeota. The record is from RNAcentral.